GUCACGAUAGCUCAAGUGGUAGAGUAGCGGCGUAUAUAGCCGAAGUCGUGGGUUCGAAUCCCGCUCGUGACA
RNAcentral lists this transfer RNA (72 nucleotides) under Cimex lectularius (bed bug). RNAcentral's name for it is "tRNA-Tyr". It matches the Rfam family "tRNA". Rfam says of the family: Transfer RNA (tRNA) molecules are approximately 80 nucleotides in length. Lineage: Eukaryota; Metazoa; Arthropoda; Insecta; Hemiptera; Cimicidae. The record is from Rfam by way of RNAcentral.